Molecule: ribosomal RNA, 440 nt
Filed under: uncultured bacterium
Lineage: Bacteria
Description: partial 16S ribosomal RNA
Rfam family: Bacterial small subunit ribosomal RNA
Source: RNAcentral
CCUACGGGUGGCAGCAGUGGGGGAUAUUGCACAAUGGGGGGAACCCUGAUGCAGCGACGCCGCGUGGGUGAAGAAGCGCCUCGGCGCGUAAAGCCCUGUCAGCAGGGAAGAAAAUGACGGUACCUGAAGAAGAAGCCCCGGCUAACUACGUGCCAGCAGCCGCGGUAAUACGUAGGGGGCAAGCGUUAUCCGGAUUUACUGGGUGUAAAGGGGGCGCAGACGGGGAUGCAAGCCAGGAGUGAAAGCCCGGGGCUCAACCCCGGGACUGCUCUUGAAACUGCGUGGCUGGAGUGCAGGAGGGGCAGGCGGAAUUCGUGGUGUAGCGGUGAAAUGCGUAGAUAUCAGGAGGAACACCGGUGGCGAAGGCGGCCUGCUGGACUGCAACUGACGUUGAGGCCCGAAAGCGUGGGGAGCAAACAGGAUUAGAUACCCCAGUAGUC